AGUGAACGCUGGCGGUAGGCCUAACACAUGCAAGUCGAACGGCAGCACAGUAAGAGCUUGCUCUUACGGGUGGCGAGUGGCGGACGGGUGAGGAAUACAUCGGAAUCUACUUUUUCGUGGGGGAUAACGUAGGGAAACUUACGCUAAUACCGCAUACGACCUACGGGUGAAAGCAGGGGAUCUUCGGACCUUGCGCGAUUGAAUGAGCCGAUGUCGGAUUAGCUAGUUGGCGGGGUAAAGGCCCACCAAGGCGACGAUCCGUAGCUGGUCUGAGAGGAUGAUCAGCCACACUGGAACUGAGACACGGUCCAGGCUCCUACGGGAGGCAGCAGUGGGGAAUAUUGGACAAUGGGCGCAAGCCUGAUCCAGCCAUACCGCGUGGGUGAAGAAGGCCUUCGGGCUGUAAAGCCCUUUUGUUGGGAAAGAAAAGCAGCAGGUUAAUACCCCGCUGUUCUGACGGUACCCAAAGAAUAAGCACCGGCUAACUUCGUG
RNAcentral lists this ribosomal RNA (492 nucleotides) under uncultured bacterium. RNAcentral describes it as "partial 16S ribosomal RNA". It matches the Rfam family "Bacterial small subunit ribosomal RNA", at positions 29 to 507 of the family's 1533-position model. The record is from RNAcentral.